RNAcentral lists this ribosomal RNA (468 nucleotides) under uncultured bacterium. RNAcentral's name for it is "partial 16S ribosomal RNA". It matches the Rfam family "Bacterial small subunit ribosomal RNA", at positions 28 to 507 of the family's 1533-position model. The record is from RNAcentral.
GACGAACGCUGGCGGCGUGCUUAACACAUGCAAGUCGAACGGAAAGGCCCUGCUUUUGUGGGGUGCUCGAGUGGCGAACGGGUGAGUAACACGUGAGUAACCUGCCCUUGACUUUGGGAUAACUUAAGGAAACUUGGGCUAAUACCGGAUAGGAGCUCCCGCUGCAUGGUGGGCGUUGGAAAGUUUCGGCGGUUGGGGAUGGACUCGCGGCUUAUCAGCUUGUUGGUGGGGUAGUGGCAUACCAAGGCUUGGACGGGUAGCCGGCCUGAGAGGGUGACCGGCCACAUUGCGACUGAGAUACGGCCCAGACUCGUACGGGAGGCAGCGGUGGGGAGUAUUAUACAAUGGGCGGAAGCCUGAUGCGGCAACGCCGCGUGCGGGAUGACGGCCUUCGGGUUGUAAACCGCUUUCGCCUGUGACGAAGCGUGAGUGACGGUAAUGGGUGAAGAAGCACCGGCUAACUACGUG